UGGCGGACGGGUGAGUAAUGCCUGGGAAACUGCCUGAUGGAGGGGGAUAACUACUGGAAACGGUAGCUAAUACCGCAUAACGUCGCAAGACCAAAGAGGGGGACCUUCGGGCCUCUUGCCAUCAGACGUGCCCAGAUGGGAUUAGCUAGUAGGUGGGGUAACGGCUCACCUAGGCGACGAUCCCUAGCUGGUCUGAGAGGAUGACCAGCCACACUGGAACUGAGACACGGUCCAGACUCCUACGGGAGGCAGCAUG
RNAcentral lists this ribosomal RNA (256 nucleotides) under uncultured bacterium. Its description in RNAcentral is "partial 16S ribosomal RNA". It matches the Rfam family "Bacterial small subunit ribosomal RNA", at positions 96 to 353 of the family's 1533-position model. The record is from RNAcentral.